GGUGGAUUCGUCUAAUCGGUCAGGACAAGAGGCUCUCAACUUCUAAAUGUCGGGUUCACCCCCCACAUCCGUCACCA
This 77-nucleotide transfer RNA is filed under the name Ruminococcus flavefaciens. Its description in RNAcentral is "tRNA_Glu_CTC". It matches the Rfam family "tRNA". Rfam says of the family: Transfer RNA (tRNA) molecules are approximately 80 nucleotides in length. Their secondary structure includes four short double-helical elements and three loops (D, anti-codon, and T loops). The record is from RNAcentral. Lineage: Bacteria; Bacillati; Bacillota; Clostridia; Eubacteriales; Oscillospiraceae.